RNAcentral lists this long non-coding RNA (1003 nucleotides) under Pan troglodytes (chimpanzee). RNAcentral's name for it is "long non-coding RNA NONPTRT009381". The record is from RNAcentral. Lineage: Eukaryota; Metazoa; Chordata; Mammalia; Primates; Hominidae.
CCCUUUUUCCUCAUCUCCCUCCCUGGGAACUCAACCUAGCCAAAGGCUUCAGGUACCACCCUCAGAGGGGGCACAGAGGUUGAUAUCCCCUACAAUCAAUGGCAUCAGGCCACGCACAGUGGCUCACACCUGUAAUCUCAGCAGUUUGGGAGGCUGAAGCAGGUGGAUCGCCCGAGGUCAGGAGUUUGAGACCAGCCUGGUCAACAUGGCAAAACCCUGUAUCUACUAAAAAUACAAAAAUUAGCUGGGCAUGGGGUGGGCACCCUAUAAUCCCAGCUACUCAGGAGGCUGAGGCAGAAGAAUAGCUUGAAUCUGGGGGGUGUGGCAUGGAGGUUGCAGUGAAUAUGACAAUCAAUAAAAUAUGACAAUACUCUGGUUUUGAUUCUGCCCUCAUGAAUGGAUUAAUGCUAUUAUUGUGGGAGUGGGUUCCUUAUAAAAGGAUGAGUUUGGCCCCCUCUUGGCCUCUCUCUUGCCCUUCCACUUUUUGCCAUGGGAUAACACAGCAAGAAGGCCCUCGCCAGGUGCUAUCUUCUUGAUCUUGGACUUCCCAGUUUCCAGAACUGUGAGAAAUAAAUUUCUAUUCAUUAUAAAUUACCUAGUCUGUGGCAUUCUGUUAUAGCAGCAAAAAAUGGAGGAAGACACACUCUUUUUGUGGUAAGGUUAGGAAUAAGUUUUUAAUCAUCACUAUAAUCUUUUGGUUGUUUAAAGAGAUUGGAACAUGGAAGAAAAUCUAACAUAGUAGACAGCCUGGCAUAUUACACUUGCAAUUUUAAUUUGAAACAUUUUAGCUUGACUCCUUUAAAUUGAGCUUGCAAAGUUUUAAAAUUUAAAAUACAGGCCCUGUGUUGGCUGUCACAGUAUCUGGAUUGUAGCAAAGUCAGUUGUGGGAAUGCCCAUUGAAAGAUUUCAGAGUGUAUUAUGUAGAGUCAGUCAUAUUGAACUAUACAGUUGUACAAUUAGUCACCCAGAAAUUCCAAUACUAUGUUUUUCUCAGUUUGCAAGU